Long non-coding RNA from Ailuropoda melanoleuca (giant panda), 1773 nucleotides. NCBI's taxonomy places the organism in Eukaryota, Metazoa, Chordata, Mammalia, Carnivora, Ursidae. The record is from Ensembl.
AUGUCUAAUGCAGAUGACUGUCUUUUGUGGCUUUUCAUUACUGAAAUAUUUUCAGAUUUCCGGAAAAUUCACAAUGGUGCCGAUGGGAGUGUAUAUACAAGGACCUCUGAACAUACUUUUGAGUCCAGCAAUCUAGCCUUCUUUUUAAAUUUAGACUGCAUGAAUAAUUCACUACCAACAUCAUCCGGGGCUGUAUUAGAUCUGGAAUUUAUACGUUGAUCAGUUCUCAAGCCAGAUGGCUGUGAUUCAUCUCAACCUUUGAUGAUAUUUUAUAAAGAAAGGGAAACACAAGGAGUUCUCUCCGAGAUGAAGAAAGCACUAUGGAACAAACAGCAUCAGGAGCCCGUGGAGGCAGACUGACAACACAGCACGUUCUUGCAAAGGUCCUCAAGGAGCAUCAGUGAAAGGGUUUGGACCACAGAUACAGAGGACCAUGUGAAGUGGAGUCUGGAACCAUGGCUAAAAAUCUUCUCUGCCCACAUUUUCUUAUUCUGGAGUUCAUCUUAAUGAAUAAAUCUUAGCAUGUGUUGAACAUUUUCUACAAACUAAGUGCACUGGGCCUUUGUGACAGCAUUCUUAUAACCUUUCCAAAAGACAAGCUACUAUCAUCUCUAUUCUAAUGUGAGAAUAUGAAGGUUUUCGAGGCUUUGUAAUGUAGUCAAGGACCCACAGCUAGGGAAUGGCAGAACAGAAAUUCAGAACUAGGUCUUCCGGGCUCCAGAGCACUUUCCCACUCUGUUCCAGUGCCUUGGUGACUGAUGUUCAAAUAAGGAGAUAGUUUGGCAUGAGGAUAUGAGGACUCUGCAAUAUGGGAGAUUCAGCAUACGGACCCGAGAAGCGAAGUCAGGAGUUCUAGAGGAAUCACAACUUUCCCCAGCCUCUUCAUGGGGAUCAGAAGCUGUUCAGUAAGAUAUCCUGAUUAUGGGUAGACACUUGUGCUGCGAACCCUAGUGCAGUUUUCUAGCCCCAUCCAGUCGCACUGGGCGUCUCUUCUCUGUCUUCAUGAUCAACUUUCCUUCCUUGUUUUGUGAGAGCGGGUCAGCAGAAAAAGAGAAGAUGGGUUUUAUUCAGUUGGCCUUUAAGAGAAGGUCCAAUUAUACUUCAAAAGAAGCACUUGCAUAAUAAAAAGGAUCUUUCCCAUUUUAUGGGUAAGGAACCCAAAAAACAGUCAAGUCAGGGACUUGUUUAACUGCUUAGUAAGAGCCAUUAUCAGAACAAAGACAAAAGGAUAGGGACUCUAAAUGGUGCCAGAAAUUGUGCAUGCUGAAAAGCCUAGGGAUUUUCUUCUUCUUUUAAAAAAAUUUGGUAACAUAGACAUGAAAUUUACAUAAAAGUAUACAGUUCAGUGGUACUGAUUAUAUCCUCCCUGUUGUGCAAUGAACACCACUACCCAUAUCCAGAAUUCUUUUCAUUUUACAAAACCGAAACUCUGUAACCACGAAACCCUAGCUCCCCAUGCCCACCUCCCUCAGGCCCUGGCAACCAGCUUUCUACUUUUUAUCUUUAUGAAGUUGACUUCUCUGGCUACCUCAUAGACGUGGAAUCAUACAGUGUCUGUCCAUUUGUGACUGGAUUAGUCCACUUAGCCUAAUGUCCUCCAGGUUGAUCCACACUGUGGCACGGGUCAGAAUUUCUUUCCUUUUUAGGGCUGAGUAACAGUUCAUUGCAUGUAUAGAUCACAUUUGUUUAUCCAUUCAUUUCUUUCUUCUUUCUCGUAACCCAUGUGAAGAAUACAGUUGACCCUUGAAUGAUGCAGGGGCUGAGGGUGCCAAU